AUGCUUACUUGGCAGGGGAGAUACCAUGAUCACGAAGGUGGCUUUCCCAGGGGGAGGCUCAACCAUUGCACUGCAGGUGUGCUAACCCCUGCCAUUUCCGCAAAUGCAGGAAACUCAACUGCAAAUUUGUGGUAGUGGGGGACUGCGUUCGUGCUUUCCCCUG
This is a small nuclear RNA of Mauremys mutica (yellowpond turtle), 163 nucleotides long. RefSeq annotates it as U1 spliceosomal RNA. The transcript has a single exon. NCBI's taxonomy places the organism in Eukaryota, Metazoa, Chordata, Testudines, Geoemydidae. The record is from RefSeq and is a predicted model, not a curated record.